RNAcentral lists this ribosomal RNA (497 nucleotides) under uncultured bacterium. Its description in RNAcentral is "partial 16S ribosomal RNA". It matches the Rfam family "Bacterial small subunit ribosomal RNA", at positions 28 to 507 of the family's 1533-position model. The record is from RNAcentral.
GAUGAACGCUGGCGGCGUGCCUAAUACAUGCAAGUCGAGCGAACAGACGAGGAGCUUGCUCCUUUGACGUUAGCGGCGGACGGGUGAGUAACACGUAGGUAACCUACCUAUAAGACUGGGAUAACUUCGGGAAACCGGAGCUAAUACCGGAUAAUAUUUCGAACCGCAUGGUUCGAUAGUGAAAGAUGGCUUUGCUAUCACUUAUAGAUGGACCUGCGCCGUAUUAGCUAGUUGGUAAGGUAACGGCUUACCAAGGCAACGAUACGUAUCCGACCUGAGAGGGUGAUCGGCCACACUGGAACUGAGACACGGUCCAGACUCCUACGGGAGGCAGCAGUAGGGAAUCUUCCGCAAUGGGCGAAAGCCUGACGGAGCAACGCCGCGUGAGUGAUGAAGGUCUUCGGAUCGUAAAACUCUGUUAUUAGGGAAGAACAAACGUGUAAGUAACUGUGCACGUCUUGACGGUACCUAAUCAGAAAGCCACGGCUAACUACGUG